RNAcentral lists this long non-coding RNA (902 nucleotides) under Homo sapiens (human). Its description in RNAcentral is "non-protein coding lnc-ADAMTS15-1:25". Lineage: Eukaryota; Metazoa; Chordata; Mammalia; Primates; Hominidae. The record is from RNAcentral.
AUUUUUCGAGAAACCAUUUUGAAUUCCCAAACAGCAAAGGAAAUGCUGCAGGUUCCUGGAGGGACCUGGUGAUCUGGGGCAGAGCACACGGAGUCGAGAUUGCUGCGGGGUUCACGAGCCUCCCCUCCUGGGACCAGGGGCACCUGGGCAGGGUAGUCUGCACCACGCAGGAAAGCCCAGUACACGCAGCUGCUCAACGCUGCAGACGCCAUAGCGCAGGGCUGACAAGGCCUCCCUCUUUAUCUGCCCUGGACCACAAGUGGAAAAUAUCAAGACAAAGCAAAAGCCAGUAUCCCUUAAGAACUUUCCAAUUGUUCUUGUCAUUUGUAGUUUUGUUUUUUGGGGGGUGUGGGGAGGGAGGGGUGGUUUGAAACAACUCCGGAGCACACUCCAGAGGAAAACAGGAAGGGUGACAUGUUUGGACACCAGAAAAGAGGAAGAGUCCUCACUAAGAGGGUGACUUGGUUAAAAAGUUCAAGCACAAAGGAUGUAGAAGCAGGUGGAUGUCAUCAGAGAACAGAUGCGGAUCUAGUGAGAUGGGUCCUACCACCCCUGGAAUAUGUUCCUGGGAGAGGGGUGGUCUGCUAGAGUGGACUGGGAAUAGUAAUAUUGCAUACUUUUGUAAAUUCACAAAACCCUCUGAUCUGUGAUAGAGGAAUAAAGGGCAGAGGAUAAACCCCAGAUAAAGAUUCACUUAUCUUAAAAAUGAAAGGUUGGAAAUUAACUUUAUGCUACUGUACCACCUUCGAAGUAUUUCUGGCAGGUGCCUGGAGGAUUCAGAUUAAUGACCAAAUUACCUGCCAAGUCAGGGCCUCCCAUUAGAAGAGAGUACCAGUUUCCAUUAGGAGCACUAGCUGGAAAACACAAUCUUUCAGCAGAGGAAAUACAGUCUUCUCUCCUUC